Notechis scutatus (mainland tiger snake) is the source of this 651-nucleotide non-coding RNA. The record is from RefSeq and is a predicted model, not a curated record. Lineage: Eukaryota; Metazoa; Chordata; Lepidosauria; Squamata; Elapidae.
CCAGAGCUCCCAUUCGAGUGAUCCAGAGGUCAGGCGCCCCAGUCCUUUCGCUGUCGCCUUAUAAAGACGGAUUUAUUGCCAGCCAAGGUGAUGGGACUUGUUUUAUUAUGCAGCAGGAUCUCGAUCACGUGCUUGAAUUAACCGGACCCGACUGUGAUCCUGUGUACAAGGUAGCUCCUUGGGGGAAGGAAAUAUACACCUGUUGCCGAGAUGGGAUCCUGAGGAGAUACCAGCUGAUUUCUGAUCUGUGAUCUGCCUGGAAGGGCCAACAACGGAUCGCAAAUGCUGGAUUUAGUUCAGGGAUUUCUCUCAGUGACUCUUUGGAAAGGGGCCUGGUUUGUAGUCCUCUAUAGCUGCGGUUUCCAAAGCUGGCCUGCUUUAAGUGAGGUGGACUUCAACUCCCAGAAUGCUGCCUGGGGAAUUCUGGGAGUUGAAGUCCACCCCCUCUUAAAGUGGAAACACCGCUCUAUCUCCACACAGUUGCUUGAACAGAGCUGACAGGUGUGACUUUUAAGAAGACCUCACCUGAACUCAGGGCUGAACUGGGUAGUCCUGUGAAAACGAGACACGGGGGGUGAGGGAGUGUGGGGGCUGAAAGUUUGGCUCAGAAGGUUUCUUUGUUAUUAAAGACCACCUGGCAUUUGGAAAAGC